AGAGUUUGAUCCUGGCUCAGGACGAACGCUGGCGGCGUGCCUAACACAUGCAAGUCGAGCGAUGAAAUCCCUUCGGGGAUGGAUUAGCGGCGGACGGGUGAGUAACACGUGGGUAACCUGCCUCAAAGAGGGGGAUAGCCUCCCGAAAGGGAGAUUAAUACCGCAUAACAUUAGUUUUUCGCAUGGAGAACUAAUUAAAGGAGUAAUCCACUUUGAGAUGGACCCGCGGCGCAUUAGCUAGUUGGUGAGGUAAAGGCUCACCAAGGCGACGAUGCGUAGCCGACCUGAGAGGGUGAUCGGCCACAUUGGAACUGAGACACGGUCCAGACUCCUACGGGAGGCAGCAGUGGGGAAUAUUGCACAAUGGGCGAAAGCCUGAUGCAGCAACGCCGCGUGAGUGAUGAAGGCCUUCGGGUUGUAAAGCUCUGUCUUUGGGGACGAUAAUGACGGUACCCAAGGAGGAAGCCACGGCUAACUACGUGCCAGCAGCCGCGGUAAUACGUAGGUGGCAAGCGUUGUCCGGAUUUACUGGGCGUAAAGGAUGCGUAGGCGGAUAUUUAAGUGAGAUGUGAAAUUCCCGGGCUUAACUUGGGAGCUGCAUUUCAAACUGGAUAUCUAGAGUGUGGGAGAGGAGAAUGGAAUUCCUAGUGUAGCGGUGAAAUGCGUAGAGAUUAGGAAGAACACCAGUGGCGAAGGCGAUUCUCUGGACCAUAACUGACGCUGAGGCAUGAAAGCGUGGGUAGCAAACAGGAUUAGAUACCCUGGUAGUCCACGCCGUAAACGAUGAGUACUAGGUGUAGGAGGUAUCGACUCCUUCUGUGCCGCAGUUAACACAAUAAGUACUCCGCCUGGGAAGUACGAUCGCAAGAUUAAAACUCAAAGGAAUUGACGG
Molecule: ribosomal RNA, 892 nt
Filed under: uncultured bacterium
Lineage: Bacteria
Description: bacterial SSU rRNA
Rfam family: Bacterial small subunit ribosomal RNA
Source: RNAcentral